Equus quagga is the source of this 320-nucleotide non-coding RNA. The record is from the annotation of a RefSeq genome assembly. Lineage: Eukaryota; Metazoa; Chordata; Mammalia; Perissodactyla; Equidae.
AUGUUCUCAGUGACCAUUCUGCUGCUUGAAAUGCUCUUCACAGUGAGAGGAACCGGAGCCCAGUCAGUGACCCAGCCUGACGACCACAUCAGUGUCUCUGAAGGAGCCCCUCUGGAGCUGAGGUGCAUCUAUUCCUAUAGUGGAACUCCUACUCUCUUCUGGUACGUCCAGUACCCCAGCCAAGGCCCCCAGCUUCUCCUCAAGUACUAUUCAGGGAACACCCGGGUUAAAGGCAUUAAAGAUUUUGAGGCUGAAUUUAAGAAGAAUGAAACCUCCUUCCAUCUGAGAAAAUCAUCAGCCCAUUGGAAUGACUCGGCUGA